This is a long non-coding RNA of Corapipo altera (White-ruffed manakin), 1838 nucleotides long. RefSeq lists it as uncharacterized. The record is from RefSeq and is a predicted model, not a curated record. The transcript is spliced from 4 exons. NCBI's taxonomy places the organism in Eukaryota, Metazoa, Chordata, Aves, Passeriformes, Pipridae.
CACCUUACUUGUUCCCUCCCUCACAUCCAUGCACCCUCUUCGCACUACUCCCUCUUCCUUUUCCUUUGUUACAUAGUGGACCACACAGAACCCCUCCUUGACCUCAAAAGUAAGUGAUGAUGAUGGAGAGAAGAAGGAAAGAAGAGAGUGAUUCUGUAUAAGAGGCAGUGGGAAAUGCAGUGUACCCCUUGAACGAGGUCUUUUGAGAGGUAUCGAAGGACUAUCCGGGUUACACAGAAUUUCCUUUGGUGAACUGCUGCUUUCUCCAGGUCAUGGGUCUUGUUCUAAAUCCAUGUUUCACUGGGUAGAAGAUUUGCUUGAAUACUCAUGUGUAAGACUCAAGGAUUAAAUCUAGAGGUAUAUGAGCAGGUUAGUGAGCAGCUCUGCCUCACGGUGGAAGUCCUUGCGGGCAUUGUCGCUGGCAUCCUUCAGUGUCUGAUGGAGAGAAUGAAAAUGUAAAGGACAGAUGUUCACAGAAGAAAUACACACAGCCCAGUACAAGCAUCUCAGGACACCAGUCUGAGAAGCAGGACCUGAAAGAAACUUACAUUCAGAGACUGAGUCAUAUUCAAGCCUGGUGGGAGUGGGUAUAAAGACAAAUGAAGAGGAAUAUGUCUUCUUUGCUAAAGCAAGUUUGGCGAGGGAGUAGAAGUCUCCACUAUGUAUAGCCCCUUGCAACUGGUCUGCACAACAUGCAAGCCCAGGGUCUCUUGGCCUUUAGCAGACCAGAGCCAAUGCCAUGCCGUGUAUGUCUCCAUGGCCAUGGGUAGUGAGGCAUCAGUCACAGAUGUAGCCGGUCUGUCAAACGGAGGUAUGUUUAAAGUAGCAUCAGAGAGUGCCUUGGUUCCACCAUGGGCAACAAACCCAUACACCUGUUUCUGGGCAAAUCUUCCUUCAGAUACUUGUUUAAAUAAAGACUUUGUAAAUUCCCAAUAAAUCCCCUCCCACAUAUCAAUAAAACUUUAUUUUAGAGAAAAAGAAUGAACACAGAUACAUUAAUCAAAAGUUAACUACACAGUAUGUUGGCAUCUAAUGAAAAAGAAAGACCUGUACUCCUUUAGGAUAACAACAGCUUCCCACAUGGUCCAGUGUGGUGUCAAACCCCCUGUACCAACAGUGACAAAACAACAACAAAGGGUAUCUUUUAAAGCUGUGACCCAUGAGGAAGUUUAGGACAAGUUCAGUCUCUGCCAAUAUGUUUUCACUACCUAAAAGCAUCUUGGUUUUGACUUGAUAAUUACAGUCUGCUGAGCCAAGCAGCUGUCACUAAGGAACAGGAGCUGCCCAAAUGAAGCAAAAUGCAUAGAAGUUUACUGCUGAUUUAUCACACAAUAAUGAACCCAGUUACAGCCUUUUGAGGCAUGGAACUGAAAAACAAAAAGAGAGAGGGAAAAAAAAAAGAGGAAAGAGAGGAAGAAAGAGCUUUGAACAUUUUGUUCCAGUCAGUUUCCAAGAAUGAAGAAAACACCAGGCAUGAUUCAAUCAAAGGAUGCCCUCCCACAGUCCCGCUGUUGCUGGAGAAGUGGCCACUGGGCAGAUAACUGAGACACAUAUUUCUCAAAGCACACAGACCCAGUCUUUGCUGAGACAUGAACUCUUGCUGAUGGCAGCACAUAUACAUACCAGGGUAAACAAGAACAGCAGAAAUGGCUGAAUGAACUUUAUUCAGAAUCUGACAUACGAUGUCAGUAUAAUGAAUGUGACCUAAAGAAGAGUAUUACACUCACAAGCAGUCUGAGUUGGCAGCUCUGACCAAUUAGUACCAGUUAAUUUUACGUUGAUAGCUAGUACAUAUAUAGGAUAUUCUGUAAAAGCUUAAUAACUGUCACCAUAAAACA